AUACGGAAGGUCCGGGCGUUAUCCGGAUUUAUUGGGUUUAAAGGGAGCGCAGGCGGAGAUGCAAGCGUGACGUCAAAUUUCGGGGCUCAACCCCGUCUCGCGUCGCGAACUGCGUCCCUUGGUUGCGGGAAGGGGAGGCGGAACUCGUGGUGUAGCGGUGAAAUGCAUAGAUAUCACGAAGAACUCCGAUCGCGAAGGCAGCCUUUCGGCCCGUCAACGACGCUCAUGCUCGAAGGUGCGGGUAUCAAACAGGAUUAGAUACCCUGGUAGUCCGCACAGUAAACGAUGGACACCCGCGGUUUGGCCUGUAUGGCUGAGCCGCCAAGCGAAAGCGUUAAGUGUCCCACCUGGGGAGUACGCCGGCAACGGUGAAACUCAAAGGAAUUGACGGGG
RNAcentral lists this ribosomal RNA (393 nucleotides) under uncultured bacterium. RNAcentral's name for it is "partial 16S ribosomal RNA". It matches the Rfam family "Bacterial small subunit ribosomal RNA", at positions 523 to 918 of the family's 1533-position model. The record is from RNAcentral.